This 277-nucleotide long non-coding RNA is filed under the name Prunus persica (peach). Its description in RNAcentral is "long non-coding RNA (PPER_LNC007942)". Lineage: Eukaryota; Viridiplantae; Streptophyta; Magnoliopsida; Rosales; Rosaceae. The record is from RNAcentral.
GUUUCUGUCCUAUUUUCAUGCUUUAGCUGAUGGUUGGGUAGGAUUUGUUGGAUUGUUGCUCUAGGCCGCUUAAUUUGAAACCCUAAGUUUCGGCCGGAUUUUGAAUUUCAAUUCCGGCCACUUCUGGCCAUUUUUCGGGCUAUGUCCGAGAACAAAAGUGGCCCGAAAUGAUGUAUUCAACCUAGGGUAGGAACCUUGGCCCUUAGUUUUACGAAUUUUCCGGCGAUUGGUAUCGCUUUGGGGCGGCGCGUGGGGUACUGUAGCAGCCUGAAUUAGG